UGGGGAAUAUUGCACAAUGGGCGCAAGCCUGAUGCAGCCAUGCCGCGUGUGUGAAGAAGGCCUUCGGGUUGUAAAGCACUUUCAGCGAGGAGGAAGGUGGUGAGCUUAAUACGCUCAUCAAUUGACGUUACUCGCAGAAGAAGCACCGGCUAACUCCGUGCCAGCAGCCGCGGUAAUACGGAGGGUGCAAGCGUUAAUCGGAAUUACUGGGCGUAAAGCGCACGCAGGCGGUUUGUUAAGUCAGAUGUGAAAUCCCCGGGCUCAACCUGGGAACUGCAUUUGAAACUGGCAAGCUAGAGUCUCGUAGAGGGGGGUAGAAUUCCAGGUGUAGCGGUGAAAUGCGUAGAGAUCUGGAGGAAUACCGGUGGCGAAGGCGGCCCCCUGGACGAAGACUGACGCUCAGGUGCGAAAGCGUGGGGCAGCAAACAGGAUUAGAUACCCUGGUAGUCCACGCUGUAAACGAUGUCGAUUUUGGAGGUUGUGCCCUUGAGGCGUGGCUUCCGGAGCUAACGCGUUAAAUCGACCGCCUGGGGAGUACGGCCGCAAGGUUAAAACUUAAAGG
RNAcentral lists this ribosomal RNA (562 nucleotides) under uncultured bacterium. Its description in RNAcentral is "partial 16S ribosomal RNA". It matches the Rfam family "Bacterial small subunit ribosomal RNA", at positions 355 to 907 of the family's 1533-position model. The record is from RNAcentral.